UACACACCGCCCGUCCAAGCCACCUGAGUUGAGAGCACCCGAAAUCGGUGAUCUAACCCGAAAGGGGAGAAGCCGCCUAAGGUGAGAUCGAAUAAGGAGGGCU
Molecule: ribosomal RNA, 103 nt
Filed under: uncultured bacterium
Lineage: Bacteria
Description: partial 16S ribosomal RNA
Source: RNAcentral